Molecule: small RNA, 175 nt
Filed under: Acinetobacter brisouii CIP 110357
Lineage: Bacteria; Pseudomonadati; Pseudomonadota; Gammaproteobacteria; Moraxellales; Moraxellaceae
Description: Aar sRNA
Rfam family: Aar sRNA
Source: Rfam by way of RNAcentral
GUUAAAUUGCGUAAAAGCCUAUUAUUUUAGUCAGCUUUUUUAUAUACUGCUCCUAUAGCGUUUAGUUGUUACAGCUAAAUGACAUUUCUCCAUUUUACGGAACUGUUUUCAGUUUUUCGUUGUUCUACGCAGUGGUCACCCCAACCAUUGCGUAUUUUUUUAUCUAAAUUUUGCA